UAGCAGAUAAAAUUUAUCCGUUAACAAAUAAAAUAGUUGUAGGUUACAGCAGUAACCUACAGUGAUCUCUGUCUCGUUACUGGCAUCGUCAGAUUCAUCCUAAGGUUAAAAAUUGAUCCUUUGUUCGUUUAAGCGGGGUCGAUGCAUACUAAUUAUCUUGAAAUAAUGAGUUAUUGACGAUCGCAA
This 186-nucleotide unclassified non-coding RNA is filed under the name Moritella viscosa. Its description in RNAcentral is "putative sRNA". The record is from RNAcentral. Lineage: Bacteria; Pseudomonadati; Pseudomonadota; Gammaproteobacteria; Alteromonadales; Moritellaceae.